Molecule: ribosomal RNA, 386 nt
Filed under: Telonemia sp.
Lineage: Eukaryota; Telonemia
Description: partial small subunit ribosomal RNA
Rfam family: Eukaryotic small subunit ribosomal RNA
Source: RNAcentral
AUUCCAGCUCCAAUAGCGUAUAUUAAAGUUGUUGCAGUUAAAAAGCUCGUAGUUGGAGUUCAGAGUGAGCUCAAUCGGUCGGGAUUACGUCUCAGAACUGGUUGACUCUCUCUUGUUUGUGGAUCCUGUUCGGAGUUAACUCUUCGGAUGUGGAGUCCACAUCGUUUACCUUGAAAAAAUUAGAGUGUUCAAAGCAGGCGUUUGCUUGAAUAUAUUAGCAUGGAAUAAUGGAAUAGGACGCUGGUCCUAUUUUGUUGGUUUUGAGAACCAGAGUAAUGAUUAAUAGGGACAGUUGGGGGCAUUCAUAUCUCAUUGUCAGAGGUGAAAUUCUUGGAUUUAUGAAAGAUGAACUUCUGCGAAAGCAUUUGCCAAGGAUGUUUUCAUUA